GACGAACGCUGGCGGCGUGCUUAACACAUGCAAGUCGAACGGAAAGGCCCUGCUUUUGUGGGGUGCUCGAGUGGCGAACGGGUGAGUAACACGUGAGUAACCUGCCCUUGACUUUGGGAUAACUUCAGGAAACUGGGGCUAAUACCGGAUAGGAGCUCCUGCUGCAUGGUGGGGGUUGGAAAGUUUCGGCGGUUGGGGAUGGACUCGCGGCUUAUCAGCUUGUUGGUGGGGUAGUUGCUUACCAAGGCUUUGACGGGUAGCCGGCCUGAGAGGGUGAACGGCCACAUUGGGACUGAGGUACGGCCCAGACUCCUACGGGAGGCAGCAGUGGGGAAUAUUGCACAAUGGGCGGAAGCGUGAGGCAGCAACGCCGCGUGCGGGAUGACGGCUUUCGGGGUGUAAACCGCUUUCGCCUGUGACGAAGCGUGAGUGACGGUAAUGGGUAAAGAAGCACCGGCUAACUACGUG
This 468-nucleotide ribosomal RNA is filed under the name uncultured bacterium. RNAcentral describes it as "partial 16S ribosomal RNA". It matches the Rfam family "Bacterial small subunit ribosomal RNA", at positions 28 to 507 of the family's 1533-position model. The record is from RNAcentral.